Molecule: ribosomal RNA, 264 nt
Filed under: uncultured bacterium
Lineage: Bacteria
Description: partial 16S ribosomal RNA
Rfam family: Bacterial small subunit ribosomal RNA
Source: RNAcentral
GUCCACGCCCUAAACGAUGUCAACUGGGUGUUGGGGGAGCGAUUCCUCAGUACCGUAGCUAACGCGUGAAGUUGACCGCCUGGGGAGUACGGCCGCAAGGUUAAAACUCAAAGGAAUUGACGGGGACCCGCACAAGCGGUGGAUGAUGUGGAUUAAUUCGAUGCAACGCGAACAACCUUACCUACCCUUGACAUGUCCGGAAGCUUGCCGAGAGGUGAGUGUGCCCGAAAGGGAAUCGGAACACAGGUGCUGCAUGGCUGUCGU